This 780-nucleotide ribosomal RNA is filed under the name Triticum aestivum (bread wheat). Its description in RNAcentral is "partial small subunit ribosomal RNA". Lineage: Eukaryota; Viridiplantae; Streptophyta; Magnoliopsida; Poales; Poaceae. The record is from RNAcentral.
AUGGACGGCAUGGAGUUCUUCUUCGAGGAUUCUGGAGCUGGGCUCGUGCCGCGCUUGGACGGCGGUGACGUCCUACGAGAUUUAGUUGCCGGCGUGGACCUGCCUGGUGGCGGCACCAGUUGGAGUGCUGACGCUGACGAGGUCUUGUCUUCUUCUCUGCCGAUGGGGCUAGUCGGAGGACUGAAGGAUUAUGAAGGGCGCGAGGAUACGGGUGAAACAAUGCUCACUCGGAGGGGGCGCGGCUCGUCUGAUCUUGGCGGCGAAGGUGUGGGCGACUCCUGCGAGAUAGGCGAUACAGAAGUUGCAUCUGGCGUCGAGGAUAACGAUACAGUCGAAGAGGGCGUCGCAGUGUCAAACGCAAAUCAGUCUUGUUGGACCAAGAGGGUUAGAGUUGGGAAAGUGGCUGAUGUGAGGGAGCCUAGCUCUUCGAGGAUGACUGCCCUUGAAGCUUCUGUCCGUGCAUUUGUCGAUAAAAAAUCUAGAAAUGUUGUCAAUCCGUCUAUUGGGACUAGCUUUGAUUCUGUCGAAGAGGGCUACGAGUUUUACAAUCUGUAUUCAUGGGAGGUCGGUUUUGGUGUCCGCUAUGCAAAAAGCCGUUUGAAUGUACACCAGAAAAAGUGCAUGCAAGAGAUAGUGUGUGCCUGUGCGGGUAAGCCAUUGCAGGCCAACAGUCGGUCAACGAGGUGUGGCUGCAAUGCCAUGAUAAGACUGCUGAGGUCGGAUGAUGGUGGAUGGUAUGUAUGUGAGCACAACUCGUUCGAUGGAAAUUGCAAUAGUUGA